CGUUGCCGAAGUUUUCAAUUCUUCCCCAAAAUAAUCGAUUAUGCAGGCUAUAUAAUCGAUUAUAUGUGAGCAGAAUCUGCUUCCGAUUUUGUAACGGUAAAAGGAUAAUCGAUUAUGCAAAUCCAAUAAUCGAUUAUCCUUGCAUAAAAUCAGCAUAAUUGAUUGUCAAUUAAGCAACAGACUUGCACCCUCUAACCCCUAUAAAAAGAGGUCUUUU
Molecule: long non-coding RNA, 217 nt
Filed under: Nicotiana benthamiana
Lineage: Eukaryota; Viridiplantae; Streptophyta; Magnoliopsida; Solanales; Solanaceae
Description: long non-coding RNA (NBEN_LNC012722)
Source: RNAcentral